GGGCCCGCACAAGCGGUGGAGCAUGUGGUUUAAUUCGACGCAACGCGAAGAACCUUACCUGGGUUUGACAUGCAUGGGACCGCCUUGGAAACAAGGUUUCUCUUCGGAGCCCAUGUGCAGGUGCUGCAUGGCUGUCGUCAGCUCGUGUCGUGAGAUGUUGGUUAAGUCCCGCAACGAGCGCAACCCCUAUUUUUAGUUGCCAACGGGUCAUGCCGGGAACUCUAAAGAGACUGCCGGUGAUAAACCGGAGGAAGGUGGGGAUGACGUCAAGUCCUCAUGGCCUUUAUACUCAGGGCUACACACGUGCUACAAUGGCCGGUACAAAGAGUCGCAAGACCGCGAGGUGGAGCU
This 351-nucleotide ribosomal RNA is filed under the name uncultured bacterium. Its description in RNAcentral is "bacterial SSU rRNA". It matches the Rfam family "Bacterial small subunit ribosomal RNA", at positions 917 to 1269 of the family's 1533-position model. The record is from RNAcentral.